AACGAACGCUGGCGGCAGGCUUAACACAUGCAAGUCGAGCGCCCCGCCAGGGGAGCGGCAGACGGGUGAGUAACGCGUGGGAACGUACCUUUUGGUUCGGAACAACUCCGGGAAACUGGAGCUAAUACCGGAUAAGCCCUAACGGGGAAAGAUUUAUCGCCGAAAGAUCGGCCCGCGUCUGAUUAGCUAGUUGGUGAGGUAACGGCACACCAAGGCGACGAUCAGUAGCUGGUCUGAGAGGAUGAUCAGCCACACUGGGACUGAGACACGGCCCAGACUCCUCCGGGAGGCAGCAGUGGGUAAUGUUGCACAAUGGGCGCAAGCCUGAUCCAGCCAUGCCGCGUGAGUGAUGAAGGCCUUAGGGUUGUAAAGCUCUUUUGUCCGGGAAGAUCAUGACUGUACCGGAAGAAUAAGCCCCGGCUAACUUCGUG
RNAcentral lists this ribosomal RNA (431 nucleotides) under uncultured bacterium. RNAcentral's name for it is "partial 16S ribosomal RNA". It matches the Rfam family "Bacterial small subunit ribosomal RNA", at positions 29 to 507 of the family's 1533-position model. The record is from RNAcentral.